UUCCGGUUGAUCCCGCCGGACCUGACUGCUAUCGGAUUGAUACUAAGCCAUGCGAGUCUUUGUAGUAAUACAAGGCAGACGGCUCAGUAACACGUAGUCAACCUACCCUAUGGACAAGAAUAAUCUCGGGAAACUGGGCAUAAUUCUUGAUAGAUCAUAAUGCCUGGAAUGGUUUAUGGUUAAAAUGAUUCGUCGCCAUAGGAUGGGACUGCGGCCUAUCAGCUUGUUGGUGAGGUAAUGGCCCACCAAGGCGAUUACAGGUACGGGCUCUGAGAGGAGAAGCCCGGAGAUGGGUACUGAGACACGGACCCAGGCCCUAUGGGGCGCAGCAGGCGAGAAAACUUUGCAAUGUGCGAAAGCACGACAAGGUUAAUCCGAGUGAUUUCUGCUAAAGAAAUCUUUUGCCAGUCAUAAAACCACUGGUGAAUAAGGGGUGGGCAAGUUCUGGUGUCAGCCGCCGCGGUAAAACCAGCACCUCAAGUGGUCAGGAUGAUUAUUGGGCCUAAAGCAUCCGUAGCCGGCUUUGUUAGUUUUCGGUUAAGUCCAUGUGCUCAACGCAUGGGCUGCCGAAAAUACUGCAUAGCUAGGGGGUGGGAGAGGUAGACGGUACUCAGUAGGAAGGGGU
Molecule: ribosomal RNA, 625 nt
Filed under: uncultured crenarchaeote
Lineage: Archaea; Thermoproteati; Thermoproteota
Description: bacterial SSU rRNA
Rfam family: Archaeal small subunit ribosomal RNA
Source: RNAcentral